AGAGACGAGUCAGAGUUUGAUCCUGGCUCAGGACGAACGCUGGCGGCGUGCCUAACACAUGCAAGUCGAACGGAGUUAAGACUUCGGUUUUAACUUAGUGGCGAACGGGUGAGUAACGCGUGAGAAACCUGCCUUUCAGUGGGGGACAACAGUUGGAAACGACUGCUAAUACCGCAUAAUGUACACGGACCGCAUGAUCUGUGUACCAAAGCUUUAUGUGCUGAAAGAUGGUCUCGCGUCUGAUUAGCUAGUUGGUGAGGUAACGGCUCACCAAGGCGACGAUCAGUAGCCGGUCUGAGAGGAUGAACGGCCACAUUGGGACUGAGAUACGGCCCAG
This 337-nucleotide ribosomal RNA is filed under the name uncultured bacterium. Its description in RNAcentral is "bacterial SSU rRNA". It matches the Rfam family "Bacterial small subunit ribosomal RNA", at positions 1 to 334 of the family's 1533-position model. The record is from RNAcentral.